RNAcentral lists this ribosomal RNA (253 nucleotides) under uncultured bacterium. RNAcentral's name for it is "partial 16S ribosomal RNA". It matches the Rfam family "Bacterial small subunit ribosomal RNA", at positions 524 to 776 of the family's 1533-position model. The record is from RNAcentral.
UACGUAGGGUGCAAGCGUUAAUCGGAAUUACUGGGCGUAAAGGACUCGUAGGUGGCCAACUAAGUCAGACGUGAAAUCCCUCGGCUUAACCGGGGAACUGCGUCUGAUACUGGAUGGCUUGAGAUUGGGAGAGGGAUGCGGAAUUCCUGGUGUAGCGGUGAAAUGCGUAGAGAUCAGGAGGAACACCUGUGGUGUAGACAGCUUACUGGACGAUAACUGACGCUGAGGCACGAAAGCGUGGGUAGCAAACAGG